UCUAGGCGAUGUCCCGAAGGUCCGUCUAAUGUUGAAUUUAUUGAGUUGUCCUCCUCCGACUCGGGGGGCGACGCACGUAAACCCUCUAACCGCGGGGGUGUGCGGGCGCUCUACCUCAGGAGACCAUCUUACCUUAGACAUAAGGCAUACUGUGUGGAUUGGAGGAGGAGGAACAAGGGAAACAGACUCCUUUUUUAUGAUCGAAGAGGAAGAAGAAAUUGAGAUGCUUUUGGAAAACUACCUCCAAAGAAAGAACGGGCUUUAACUGGAAUGACUUGUGAGAAUGGCUUACUUGGGGAAAUGGGAGCCUGAGUUUUCACAACUAACUUUGUGUUUCCUCUGAAGUUAUUCAAAAUGGUUCAUUUUUCAGGUACGUGGUCUUUAUUGAUUUGUGCUUGAAUGUGUUCAUGCAUCUAGGCAUUUUAUUGAAUGUGUUGAUGUAUCUAGGCAUUGAAAUGUCAAAUGGAAUAUAAUAAUGACUGGUUUAUAAAAUUUUAAUUGUGUUUCAGUAAGAGAUUUUCUUUUUUGUCUUGAUCUAUACAAAAAGAAAAAUGAUUAG
Molecule: long non-coding RNA, 559 nt
Organism: Humulus lupulus (European hop)
Lineage: Eukaryota; Viridiplantae; Streptophyta; Magnoliopsida; Rosales; Cannabaceae
Exons: 3
Source: RefSeq, a predicted model, not a curated record